CAAGUUCACUAGAACUCGGUUUGUUUUUAUUUAUAUCUUAUCCUUUAACAGUUGUUUGCCAUAACGAUUUGUAUGGAAAUUCUAUACGGAUUUUCAUCUGCUCCUUCAGUCGCCUCUAAGAAUUCCAAGCGAAAUAUGCAUUUACCUAUUUUUACUCGAUUUUAAUAUGUAUUACAAGUUUUGGCAGGUACGCUAGUAACAUUAUGUAAUCGCACGCAAUUCGCAUGGGGAUCUCAAAGCCAAUGUCAAGUAUUAACCAGUCACGUGCGCUCAUUAAAGCAAACCUAGUAAAAUGAAGCCAACAAAAUAAACGCGUCCCAUUGUAUUUUUACUGAGGCAUAAGCCAAGAAAAGCCACCUUCUCCCACGUUUUCCAAUCGGAUUAUGUAAAAACAUGUUCGCAACAACAUGCAACGCUGAUCAAUCGAAGUGGACGUUUUUGGCACCGUGGAGAAGAAAAUGUUUUGUUGCAUUUUCAGUUGCAGAAUGCACCUUUCGCGUUUUUUUCUCAAGUCAAUUGAGACACUAAUAAAAUAGAUGCAUUGAAGAAGUAUAAUUUUUUCAAUUAAUUCGUCAUAAUUAUAUGCCAAUCAGUUCCACCAAAUGAUCAAAACGCCACCAGAAUGUAUAUAACAAUGUUGGCAUCGAUAUGUGAAUAGCAGCUAUUUUCGUAUAGAAUGUAGAGACCAUCGGAGUGAAUGAAAUUAGAACAGCGAUUAAUUGCCCGAUGAUAAAUCAAGGGAAGAGCGGAACUAGUUGUAAUAUGAAAGUCUCUAGAGUCCAAAUCUGGAUCGCUCACUGGCCGCCCAUCGGACCUGUGGUCGAUGUAGAAGACUUUGCUUUGCAAAUGUACUGCUAUUUAAAUAAAUAAAUUUAUCUGGCAAUGAUUUGCCUUCCUCCAAACAUCUUUGACACUUUCUAGAUUACAAAAAUCAGCAAAUGUGCAUGAUGUUUUUUUCAUACAAUGGUUUCGUUGUGUUCUACUAUUGCAAAUCAAAUGUUUGCUCGAUACGAUUUUCACGAUUUUGCCCUUGAAGUUUGGACUUCGGCAGCUGAUCAUACACAACGCACGUCAAUAGAUAAAUACAUUCAUUAUUUAUCCGGUUCAUGCGAGAGGACUCAAGUUCGUAAUAUAAUGAAAUUUCUCGUAAAUUGAAACUUUACAAGCGGCGCAGCCAUAGACCUAUUGGCAUUUGUUAACUCUGACUUGCAGUUGAAGCGUUUGGCAGCUUAAUCUAUUUCUUUCAAUCAGUUUUUUCGAUAACAUUCAAUUCAUUUAAUUGGAGAUAAUCAGUUUUGCUCAGUGUGCGCUUCUUUCAUUCAUUUUCACUAGCACUGCUUCCAAAUCCGUUAGUUUUUCGCGACUUAAAACACCAACAAACUCGAUGUCUUCAUUAUCAGUUGCGGUUUUGCCUGCCACCUUUUCUACUACUUAACUAUUUGAACUAUUCUCAAAUCGACUUGCUCAAACCUGGACCCAUCAUCAUUUCCAUUAAAAAAAUAAAGGUGUUCAAAAAAUGAAUUAUAUUCAGUGUCAUUUAAAGCUGAAAACUGGUCUUCACAUGAAGAUGUUCUUAUUGCGUAAUGGACGGUUUCUUCAUUCGUAAUGACAGCGUUUGAGCCCGUUUACUCUACACUUAGUUCCGUUAGGAGCCCAAAGAAGUAACAUAAACAAUAAAAAGUGAAACUAGCUGUUUGUGGCCGGGCCCUGAUGCAAGAACGUGAACAUGAUCAUAAUACGAACUGUGUUUGUUUCUAGGUGUUUAAUUUCAGUUGAAAUAUAAGGUUUCAAGGAAACCUUGUCGAAUGACGAAAGCCUGAAAUGUGCGCCUAAUUUUGGCCAUAAUAUUUCGGUUGUGAAACGUGGUCUUUGUAUUAAUAGAUUUGCAUACCAUCCGGCUGGUUGGCCUUGUUUCGGCAGAACUGGAAGCGAUAUUAAUAAAAAUGAACGCGUUUCAGAGGACAAUUAAUCUCCAGAAAAACAAAAACAUUUUGGCAAUUGUGCGAAGAUUAUUCUCCUGCCUAGUUGAAACUGCACGCGAAACUCACUCAAUUAACUCUGACCGAUAGUAUAAUUGCAUUUUUAGUGGAACUCGUUUGCCGUUGAAAAAAACUGGUUUAAAUACGAACACAACAUUCUAGACUGUAGUAGUUUAACAUUAAAUACCUUUAAAAUGUUUUUUUAUUUAGUGGAUUCUUCAUCUGCUCAUCUGUUUGAGCUCAAUGUUGGUCGUUCUGUAAAGUAGUAGUAAAGACAAUGUAGCUGGAAUUUUAUAUUUUAUUUCUUGUUUUGCCAUGCAGAAGACGGUGUUUCCAGAAGGCUUUUAUCGUUUAGCCAACUGACAGAAUAUCAGCCUAAAUAUGUAUGUGGAUCAUCAAAGUUCGCUGGUUGUUCGAGAUAUUGGCAACAUAAUUAUUUGAGAUAAUGUCGAGUACAGCGUAUUUUUAGACGGUUGUUAAUGUUAUAUACAUUAGGAUGUGUGUAAUGAGCGACAUCAAAGGCAUAUUAAAGGACUGCCAAAUCAUAUUUAUAUCGAUGCAGUGAUGGUAACUUGUGCACUAAAUUUUGCAUAAUACAUUUAUAGCUUGGAUAUUUAUGGGCCAUGAGUCGAUAUUGUUAAGUGUACAUACACGUCUUGAAUGUGUAUUACCAUAAAAUUUCCAAUAUUCCGUGAAAAUGUCGUUUAUAAGAACUUUUAUUGAAGGAUUUUUACGUGCUGCGCAAACUUGAUGAAGUUCUAUAAAUAUUAAUUCGAUCCCCAUGUUUAGGAACUGCUUGAUAAAACCAUAUCGAUAUUGUUGUUCCAAGUUUCCCGACAAAAAUUAAAUGUUGCAACCAAGGCUAUGUUUACUCAUCAUUUCCUUUGGCUUGAUGAUGGCUGGCCAACAAAAUAGCCAAUUCAAUCACUGAGGAUUGCAGAUUUCACUCAAUCAUUUCCUGUGCAAAUUUAAAAUGUUGACAUUUUUUCAAUUGUCUUUUCAAUUGUCGUUUCAAGUUGAUCAUGGAAUUUGGUAAUAAAUACUGAUAAAGCCUGCCAACAGGCUUAUUACAUUAUAAUGUAUCCAUAAUUAAUAAACACUGAUAAGAUAAUAUGGAACCCACUAUAAUUAAAAUCAGAAUAUUAUGUCAUGUUGUUUGCGAGAUACCUAUUUACUUUGUUUUUAAUAAUUGAAGCAACCGAAAACUGAUCCUCUUGAAUGACAAAACAACAAUGUUUUCGUUUUAAUUAUAAUUUAAUAAUAUUGGGCAAAAACAUAAGGGAAAAACAAGCAUAUUUGAUAAAAGUUUGGAGUAACAAUGACAGUUGUUCUAAAGUAUU
This is a long non-coding RNA of Dendroctonus ponderosae (mountain pine beetle), 3319 nucleotides long. RefSeq lists it as uncharacterized. The record is from RefSeq and is a predicted model, not a curated record. The transcript is spliced from 2 exons. NCBI's taxonomy places the organism in Eukaryota, Metazoa, Arthropoda, Insecta, Coleoptera, Curculionidae.